AGGUCAUUGCUAUCGGAGUCCGAUUUAGCCAUGCUAGUUGUACGAGUUGAGACUCGUAGCGGAAAGCUCAGUAACACGUGGUCAAGCUACCCUGUAGCGACGGAUAACCUCGGGAAACUGAGGCUAAUACGUCAUAACGUCGAUAUCUGGAGUGAUUGAGUGGAAACGCCUUUGUGCUACAGGAUGCGACUGCGGUCGAUU
RNAcentral lists this ribosomal RNA (201 nucleotides) under uncultured Halobacteria archaeon. RNAcentral's name for it is "partial 16S ribosomal RNA". It matches the Rfam family "Archaeal small subunit ribosomal RNA", at positions 21 to 226 of the family's 1478-position model. Lineage: Archaea; Methanobacteriati; Methanobacteriota; Halobacteria. The record is from RNAcentral.